AUACGUAGGGGGCAAGCGUUAUCCGGAUUUACUGGGUGUAAAGGGAGCGUAGACGGAAGGCCAAGUCUGAUGUGAAAGCCCGCGGCUCAACUGCGGGACUGCAUUGGAAACUGGUCAUCUGGAGUGCAGGAGGGGUAAGCGGAAUUCCUAGUGUAGCGGUGAAAUGCGUAGAUAUUAGGAGGAACACCGGUGGCGAAGGCGGCUUACUGGGCUGUAACUGAAGUUGAGGCUCGAAAGAGUGGGGAGAAAAAAGGAUUAGAUCCCCUGGUGGUCCACGCCGUAAACGAGGAAUACUAGGUGGUGGGUUACUAUAGAGAUUCGGUGCCGCAGCAAACGCAAUAAGUAUUCCACCUGGGGAGUACGUUCGCAAGGAUGAAACUCAAAUGAAUUGACGGGG
Molecule: ribosomal RNA, 397 nt
Filed under: uncultured bacterium
Lineage: Bacteria
Description: partial 16S ribosomal RNA
Rfam family: Bacterial small subunit ribosomal RNA
Source: RNAcentral